Molecule: small RNA, 175 nt
Filed under: Camellia sinensis
Lineage: Eukaryota; Viridiplantae; Streptophyta; Magnoliopsida; Ericales; Theaceae
Description: transcribed RNA
Rfam family: Eukaryotic small subunit ribosomal RNA
Source: RNAcentral
CUAAUACGUGCAACAAACCCCGACUUCCGGAAGGGACGCAUUUAUUAGAUAAAAGGUCGACGCGGGCUAUGCCCGUUGCUCUGAUGAUUCAUGAUGACUCGACGGAUCGCACGGCCUUUGUGCCGGCGACGCAUCAUUCAAAUUUCUGCCCUAUCAACUUUCGAUGGUAGGAUAG